GUGCUCACUUCGGCAGCACAUAUACUAGAAUUGGAAUGAUACAGAGAAGAUUAGCAUGGCCCCUGUACAAGGGUGGCACACAAAUUCAUGAAGUGUUCCAUUAAAAA
This is a small nuclear RNA of Erinaceus europaeus (western European hedgehog), 107 nucleotides long. The record is from Ensembl. Lineage: Eukaryota; Metazoa; Chordata; Mammalia; Eulipotyphla; Erinaceidae.